Molecule: long non-coding RNA, 1136 nt
Organism: Diorhabda carinulata
Lineage: Eukaryota; Metazoa; Arthropoda; Insecta; Coleoptera; Chrysomelidae
Exons: 3
Source: RefSeq, a predicted model, not a curated record
CAAGCAGCAAUCAAUAUAAAUUAAUUUGUAAUCAGUCAAGCAUAAAAUGUGAAAAGGCUCAAAAUCUUUUAGCAUUAUUUGGAAUAACUUCAGUCAAAAAUUCAGUACGAGGGCGAGGGCGAGGCUUUUUAUUCAAAAAAUUUCGAUCACUUCUCGAAGUUUAAAAAAGCGCUGAAGGACUUUCCCACAACUAAGCCAAUGUGCGGCAGUAUGAUAAGAUUCCUGAAGAAACGGUUGAUGAUUAGGUCAGAAAAAAACACUCAAGUCAAUCCUAUAUAGUUUGAUAUGAAGAGGAAAAGUGUACAACCAAAUUCGCUUAAAGUUAAGCAUAUAAGUGUGUGUUCGCAGAAAUCUUUAUUCACGCUUCAGCAAAAAGCUGAAUGAGGUUUACGAUUACCUUGUCAAGCUGGAUUAACAUCAAAACAAAUCAUAAACAGAAUGGAGGCUGUUUAAGGUGACUUGUGUUCGUUGAGUAUGCGAAUCGUUAUAAGAUGACACAAGUUUGGGAGGUUCUGUGACGGUGACUAUUUAAGAAAACAUUUAAUUAGUGGAAGAAAUUGUUCUAAGGGACCACCGCCUAAAAACAAUAGAAAUUGCAGGACAGGCCGGCAUUUUCAACACAGAGUUCUGAGGAAAAUGUAUCAUCUAGAAAAACAACAUGAAUAAGAUUUUUUUGUUUGUUUGUUUGAUUCUAACCAAAGAACCCUUCUGAGAUGAAAAGGGGACCUCAAUUAUGCCAGUACCUACAGUUUAAUUUAUGGACCAUACAUUAUCAAUGGAAAAUUCUUUUCACAAAUUUUUAAUAACAAUUGUUCAAUGAAUGUAGUUUCCAGUUUCAAAAACUUGAGUAUUUUUUUGAAUUUUCAGUUAGGUUCAAAAAAAUUAAUGAAUAAAAUCUUCUUCGUUAAAUGUGCCAUUGUAUUUCACCUAUGUUUUUAUUGCCACUAUCGGCUGUAAAACUUGUUUGCAAAAAAAAGUAGAAAACCAAUAUAUGAGGUUGGCAACUAAGUACUUUCGCUUUUUACUGAUAGAGAGACUUGCUCCAUUGUAAUAACUUUUGUUAGUGCUGCACUUUGCCGUUUGUCACGUGAUACUGGUCACAUUGAGGGAACGUUAGAAGCUAGUGCGUGAUUUUU